This is an unclassified non-coding RNA of Microcebus murinus (gray mouse lemur), 114 nucleotides long. It matches the Rfam family "Y RNA". From Rfam's summary of the family: Y RNAs are components of the Ro ribonucleoprotein particle (Ro RNP), in association with Ro60 and La proteins. Lineage: Eukaryota; Metazoa; Chordata; Mammalia; Primates; Cheirogaleidae. The record is from Ensembl.
GGCUGUUCCGAAGGUAGUGAGUUAUCUCACGUGAUUGUUCACAGUCAGUUACAGAUUGAACUCCUUAUUCUACUACUUUCCCCCCUCCUCACCACUGCACUUGACUAGUCUUAA